GAUGAACGCUGGCGGCGUGCUUAACACAUGCAAGUUGAACGGAAAGGCUCCUGCUUGCAGGGGUACUCGAGUGGCGAACGGGUGAGUAACACGUGGGUGAUCUGCCCUGCACUUCGGGAUAAGCCUGGGAAACUGGGUCUAAUACCGGAUAGGACCACAUUUUGGAUGGUGUGGUGGAAAGUUUUUCGGUGUGGGAUGAGCUCGCGGCCUAUCAGCUUGUUGGUGGGGUAAUGGCCUACCAAGGCGUCGACGGGUAGCCGGCCUGAGAGGGUGUACGGCCACAUUGGGACUGAGAUACGGCCCAGACUCCUACGGGAGGCAGCAGUGGGGAAUAUUGCACAAUGGGCGCAAGCCUGAUGCAGCGACGCCGCGUGGGGGAUGACGGCCUUCGGGUUGUAAACUCCUUCCGCUAGGGACGAAGCGCAAGUGACGGUACCUGGAGAAGAAGCACCGGCUAACUACGUG
RNAcentral lists this ribosomal RNA (465 nucleotides) under uncultured bacterium. Its description in RNAcentral is "partial 16S ribosomal RNA". It matches the Rfam family "Bacterial small subunit ribosomal RNA", at positions 28 to 507 of the family's 1533-position model. The record is from RNAcentral.